RNAcentral lists this ribosomal RNA (468 nucleotides) under uncultured bacterium. Its description in RNAcentral is "partial 16S ribosomal RNA". It matches the Rfam family "Bacterial small subunit ribosomal RNA", at positions 28 to 507 of the family's 1533-position model. The record is from RNAcentral.
GACGAACGCUGGCGGCGUGCUUAACACAUGCAAGUCGAACGAUGAAGCCUUAGCUUGCUUUGGUGGAUUAGUGGCGAACGGGUGAGUAACACGUGAGCAACGUGCCCAGGACUCUGGAAUAACCGCGGGAAACCGUGGCUAAUACCGGAUAGGUGCCGAGGCCGCAUGGUCUUCGGUUGGAAAGUUUUUGCGGUUCUGGAUCGGCUCACGGCCUAUCAGCUUGUUGGUGGGGUAAUGGCCUACCAAGGCGACGACGGGUAGCCGGCCUGAGAGGUGACCGGCCACACUGGGACUGAGACACGGCCCAGACUCCUACGGGAGGCAGCAGUGGGGAAUAUUGCACAAUGGGCGCAAGCCUGAUGCAGCAACGCCGCGUGGGGGAUGACGGCCUUCGGGUUGUAAACCUCUUUUAGUAGGGAAGAAGCGCAAGUGACGGUACCUGCAGAAAAAGCACCGGCUAACUACGUG